RNAcentral lists this ribosomal RNA (554 nucleotides) under uncultured bacterium. RNAcentral describes it as "partial 16S ribosomal RNA". It matches the Rfam family "Bacterial small subunit ribosomal RNA", at positions 355 to 900 of the family's 1533-position model. The record is from RNAcentral.
UAGGGAAUCUUCCACAAUGGACGCAAGUCUGAUGGAGCAACGCCGCGUGAGUGAAGAAGGUUUUCGGAUCGUAAAGCUCUGUUGUUGGUGAAGAAGGAUAGAGGCAGUAACUGGUCUUUAUUUGACGGUAAUCAACCANAAAGUCACGGCUAACUACGUGCCAGCAGCCGCGGUAAUACGUAGGUGGCAAGCGUUGUCCGGAUUUAUUGGGCGUAAAGCGAGCGCAGGCGGAAUGAUAAGUCUGAUGUGAAAGCCCACGGCUCAACCGUGGAACUGCAUCGGAAACUGUCAUUCUUGAGUGCAGAAGAGGAGAGUGGAACUCCAUGUGUAGCGGUGGAAUGCGUAGAUAUAUGGAAGAACACCAGUGGCGAAGGCGGCUCUCUGGUCUGCAACCGACGCUGAGGCUCGAAAGCAUGGGUAGCGAACAGGAUUAGAUACCCUGGUAGUCCAUGCCGUAAACGAUGAGNGCUAGGUGUUGGGGACUUUCCGGUUCUCAGUGCCGCAGCAAACGCAUUAAGCGCUCCGCCUGGGGAGUACGACCGCAAGGUUGAAAC